Molecule: transfer RNA, 64 nt
Organism: Cavia porcellus (domestic guinea pig)
Lineage: Eukaryota; Metazoa; Chordata; Mammalia; Rodentia; Caviidae
Rfam family: tRNA
About the family: Transfer RNA (tRNA) molecules are approximately 80 nucleotides in length. Their secondary structure includes four short double-helical elements and three loops (D, anti-codon, and T loops). Further hydrogen bonds mediate the characteristic L-shaped molecular structure. tRNAs have two regions of fundamental functional importance: the anti-codon, which is responsible for specific mRNA codon recognition, and the 3' end, to which the tRNAs corresponding amino acid is attached (by aminoacyl-tRNA synthetases). tRNAs cope with the degeneracy of the genetic code in two manners: having more than one tRNA (with a specific anti-codon) for a particular amino acid; and 'wobble' base-pairing, i.e. permitting non-standard base-pairing at the 3rd anti-codon position.
Source: Rfam
GGGGAUUUAGCUCAGUGGCGUAAGCACCUGCCUUGCAAGCAGGUAUUCGUGAGUUCAAUCCCUG